UCCAGGCUGCAGACAUUGCUGCCCGGCCAGUCCUGGGCUUGGUUCUAAGUGUUACUUGCAGCCCUUCAGAGAAUGCCCAUUCCAUUAACGCUGGGUGAACACCGCUCACAAAAGGCAAUAACCAAGUCUGCAGCUGGCGGGAGACAUUUGAGAUGGCACACCACCAAGUCAUGCUCUCCAGGAGACACCAGACAGACAGGCCAGCGCUACACGGAGCUGACCCAGACGGCAGAAGACAGGAUGAAUUGAGCCACCUGACCUUUUCUGGAAAGAGGCAAGAGAAGGAAUGUUUCCUCCUUCAGUAAAAGACACUCAGACACAUGUCCAGUGUCACGGUGCAAAAGGGUCAGGAAACCAAGUCCCCUCCCAUCCCAAAGCCCCAUUUCCCUUCCACAUUGCUGGUGUCUUUUGUCCUUCCAGAGAGCCCCAGCACAGAGCAGCAAAUAUGAGCUUAGUGAUUCCUGGAGAGGGCUGUGUCCCAUGAAUGGACUGCCACUUGCUGGCUGCUGGCUUUACGUCUACAGGCAAAGGAUGUUAUGAAAUAGCUCCGGAAGUUUCUUUUGGGGGCCCCCAGCACCUCUUCUCCUAUCACGACCAGGCUCUGAAAAUGAGGCUUCUUGCUCAGGGAAGAGAACAGGUACAGAGGAAUCCACACUCAGCUUUGAGCAUCAAAAUAAGGGUUUUUAAGGUUUAAGUGUUUGAUGAGACAGUGGUCUUGAAAGCCAGGCUUUCCUGGAAUUCCCAGAGCCACACGUGACCUGACCACAGUGGAAAUCAGACAGGGGACACGUGCAAGAUGCAGCCCUGGGGACAGAAAGGCAAACAGCAAGGAGGCGGCUGCAAGAGGGACUUGGGGGAGGUGACAGAGGUGACCAUCUUGCUACGACCCCACCGGGUGGAGAGAUGGAGACGGGGAAAGCAAACAAAACCCACACAAACAACAACAGAAAACCUGCUCUCAGGGCCGCGUAAUGACCGGUGCCCUUUUGUACAGAAGCCCCGCCAGGUUUUGAACUUCAAGCAGGUCCGUGGGGGAAGAAAAGGGCCCAGUCCCAUGGAAAUUUCCUAGUAGGGUUUAUUUUGAAGCAAAGGUUUGGCAGACGUGACCCAGUCUCCUUGGCUAGACAGGGCCUCUUUGAAAAGAGUCAAAAACAGCAGAAAGAUGGGAAGUGGUCCUAGAAUGAGCUGGUUUUAGUGGAAUCUUCUUCUUCCAAAAAGAACCGCCAGAGGCCAGCCCAGGCCUCCCUUGCUUUCCAGAAUUCAACUCAACUCACCUGUGGCCCGAUGAGCUCGGCGAUUCAGCUCGCCCUAAUUCCCCAAACCUGUGCAGGUUACCUGACGUGGCAAAAGGCACUUUGCAGGUGGGGCAAGGGGCACCUUGCCAUAGGGAGGGUAACCCGGGUCAUCCAGGUGGACCUAAUCGAGUCACACGAGUCCUUAGAAUCAGAGAACCUUUCUGAGCUGCGGUCGGAGGGAGCCGUGGUGGAACCUUUCUGAGCUGUGGUCAGAGGGAGCCGUGAUAGAACCUUUCCGAGGGUGCUGUGAUUACCGAAGCAGCAGCAGAGAUGCAACAUUGCCGGCUCUGAAGGUGGACGAAGCGGCCAGGAGCCAUGGGAUGCCAGUGACCUCUGGACGCUGGAAAAGGCAGGGAAACAGAUUCUCCCCCAGAACCCCCAGAAGUUACCAGCCCUGUUGACCGUGACCCAAGCCCAGGGAGACUGAGGCUGGGUUUCUGACCUGUGGAACCGUAAAUGACAAAUGAGGUUUUUAAGCUGCUAAGUCUGUGGACAUUUGUUACAGAACCCGUCGAAAAUCCACCCGUCAUCUUUCUUGAGCUCCUAUGUGGCCGUUCCUGGGAUGUGAUUCCUAAUCCUCGUGACCACCUGUGAGACUGGGCCUGUGAUCCCCAGUUCACAGAUGGGGAAACUGAGGCUCUCUGAGAUGAACUGACGCCCCUUGGGGACCUGAGCAGGGACGGGAACUCCAGGCUGACUCCAAGCUGCGUGGACCUCCGGCUGCCUACAGGUGAGGUGUGUGUCUAACUGCCUCUCAGGGGAGAGGCUGGGACUUGGUGACAGCCUGUGCGGAAAGUGCUGGCACAGAGGAGGGGUUCAGGCCACGUCAGUCCUCUCGCCCCUUUUCCCAAACAUCUGCUGACACAGCUCCAUUCUGGCUGCUAAUUGGGUGACAGAUUCUUCCUGAUUGCCACUACAAAGCUAUUAUAAAAUCAACCCUGGCCGGGCGUGGGGCUCAUGCUGUAAUCCCAGCACUUUGGGAGGCCAAGGCAGGAAGACUGCUUGAGGCUAGGAGUCCAAGACCAGCCUGAGCAACAUAGCGAGAGCCCAUCUCUACAAAAACAAUUUUUAAAAAUGAGCCAGGUAGGGUGGUGCACACCUGUGGUCCCAGCUACUUGGGGUGUUGAGGUGGAAGAAUCACUUUAGCCGGGGAGGGCA
Molecule: long non-coding RNA, 2453 nt
Filed under: Homo sapiens (human)
Lineage: Eukaryota; Metazoa; Chordata; Mammalia; Primates; Hominidae
Description: HSALNT0234571
Source: RNAcentral